This 238-nucleotide ribosomal RNA is filed under the name uncultured bacterium. Its description in RNAcentral is "partial 16S ribosomal RNA". It matches the Rfam family "Bacterial small subunit ribosomal RNA", at positions 97 to 334 of the family's 1533-position model. The record is from RNAcentral.
GGCAAACGGGAGGGUAACACAUUGGUAAUUUACCUCGAGGACGAGAAUAACCCGGAGAAAUCCGGAAUAAUACUCGAUAAAAGUGGGGGGACAUAAGUCAUUCCUACUUAAAGUUCCGGCGCCUCGAGAGAAGCCUAUGGCUUAUCAGCUUGUUGGUGAGGUAAAAGCUCACCAAGGCUACGACGAGUAGCGGGUGUGAGAGCAUGACCCGUCUCACUGGGACUGAGACACUGCUCAG